This 65-nucleotide transfer RNA is filed under the name Dipodomys ordii (Ord's kangaroo rat). It matches the Rfam family "tRNA". Rfam says of the family: Transfer RNA (tRNA) molecules are approximately 80 nucleotides in length. Their secondary structure includes four short double-helical elements and three loops (D, anti-codon, and T loops). The record is from Rfam by way of RNAcentral. Lineage: Eukaryota; Metazoa; Chordata; Mammalia; Rodentia; Heteromyidae.
GGUGGCUCAGUGGUAGAGCGCUUGCCUUGAAUGCACAAGGCCCUGGGUUCAAUUCCUCAGCACCA